AACGCGUGAAGGCGAGCACUCUAGACGAACUGCCGUUGACAAAACGGAGGAAGGUGGGAUGACGUCAAAUCAUCAUGCCCCUUAUGUUCUGGGCUACACACGUGCUACAAUGGCCGGUACAGACGGACGCAAAGCCGCGAGGUGGAGCAAAUCCUAAAAAGCCGGUCUCAGUUCGGAUUGCAGGCUGCAAUUCGCCUGCAUGAAGUCGGAAUCGCUAGUAAUCGCAGGUCAGCAUACUCGCGGUUCCGAAUACGUUCCGGCCUU
Molecule: ribosomal RNA, 264 nt
Filed under: uncultured Bacillus sp.
Lineage: Bacteria; Bacillati; Bacillota; Bacilli; Caryophanales; Bacillaceae
Description: partial 16S ribosomal RNA
Rfam family: Bacterial small subunit ribosomal RNA
Source: RNAcentral